GUAGCGUGAAGGAUGACUGCCUAUGGGUUGUAAACUUCUUUUAUACGGGAAUAAGUGAGGCACGUGUGCCUUUUUGUAUGUACCGUAUGAAUAAGGAUCGGCUAACUCCGUGCCAGCAGCCGCGGUAAUACGGAGGAUCCGAGCGUUAUCCGGAUUUAUUGGGUUUAAAGGGAGCGUAGGCGGACGCUUAAGUCAGUUGUGAAAGUUUGCGGCUCAACCGUAAAAUUGCAGUUGAUACUGGGUGUCUUGAG
RNAcentral lists this ribosomal RNA (251 nucleotides) under uncultured bacterium. RNAcentral describes it as "partial 16S ribosomal RNA". It matches the Rfam family "Bacterial small subunit ribosomal RNA", at positions 396 to 646 of the family's 1533-position model. The record is from RNAcentral.